CAGUCGCCGCGGUAAUGCGAAGGGUGCAAGCGUUACUCGGAAUUACUGGGCGUAAAGCGUGCGUAGGUGGUGGUUUAAGUCCGUUGUGAAAGCCCUGGGCUCAACCUGGGAAUUGCAGUGGAUACUGGGUCACUAGAGUGUGGUAGAGGAUAGUGGAAUUUCCGGUGUAGCAGUGAAAUGCGUAGAGAUCGGAAGGAACAUCUGUGGCGAAGGCGACUAUCUGGGCCAACACUGACACUGAGGCACGAAAGCGUGGGGAGCAAACAGGAUUAGAUACCCCCGUAGUCCCUGUCUCUUAUAC
This 301-nucleotide ribosomal RNA is filed under the name uncultured bacterium. RNAcentral describes it as "partial 16S ribosomal RNA". It matches the Rfam family "Bacterial small subunit ribosomal RNA", at positions 509 to 807 of the family's 1533-position model. The record is from RNAcentral.